AGUCAAGGGAGGAAGUUCCUGGAGAAGUAGAAGUACUGCGUGGUUAGCGUCCGGUCACUCUUCAGAGCAGCCUUGUACUUACUACGUUUCAGUGUCUCUCCUUGCAGCUUUUCGUAACUUUAACGAACUAUGCUCCUUUCGUGUCUCAGUUUCUAUAUCUGUUUCGCCAAGCGCCGCUCGGAAGGGUUAAUUCAGGAGCGAGCCCUACUGGAAAAGGCGGCUUUGUGUGGAAGUUUGCACCUGGGAGGUGAGAGCUGGACGGAACGUUAAAGAGCCCUGAAGGCUUAACUCUACGCUUCUGAGGUUAAAAAAGAGAGAGAGAGAAAGAAACGGCUCCAGAAAGAGGCGGAUGACACCCCAGGUUACAUGGCAAAAAAGUGACUAAACUGAGAACUCAGGGCACCAAUCUCCCAGUUUCCCCAUUGAGAUUUCAUCCUGUUACAUUUCCCGGCAUCACCUUGUUCUUGCUUUGAACCCUUGCGACUUUUUUUUUGUAGAUGGAAAAGAUUCUUUUAGUUGGUAUUUGGAGACAUCUAGUGAAAGAAUAUGAAAGCAAAGGUCGAGUCCGCAAGUUCUGGUAGUUCGUGGAAUUAAAAAGUGAGCAUGAUUAGAGUUUACAGCUAAAAAUCCUUGGACUUGGAUCUGAAAUUUGCGAAGGUGCUACAAUUUGAUCAGGAGAGUGGGUAAAAUUAAUACUUGCAUUAUUGUUUUAAUUAUUUGUAGCUCUUUUUACUCUAAACGCUGACAUUUUUUUUUAAGGAAUGAAAAAAUGCGCCUUUAGAUAUUUUGAAAGGAUGUUAUUUCAGUAUAUGAGUUAAUAUAUUCCGUGCAGCAGAAUCUUUAUUUGAAAGCACGCUUAUGGAUAAAGGUUAGUCUUUAGUUCACUUACUGAUUCCAUCUGCUCCAUUACCUAGUCUUGCUUAAGUUCUAAGUGCUUAAAAAACUCAUAAGCAGUUUACAGCUCUGCACUUUGCAGCUGUUCGAUCUUUUCCAAAUUCAACAUAUGCAGAUUUUCAGGUUGGCUAUGUGAAGCUAAGUACCACCAAACAUAAUGUUCUACAACAUGGGAAGUAUUUCUGUAAUAGUUAAUGGACUUUAUUAAGUGGGUUGCUUUAGUUUUCCCAGAGCCACCAUUUCUUUUCCACUAUGAAGGGCGGUUUAUAUAAAAAUAGUAUCUUGGAGUUCCCAUAGUGGCUCCAGGAAUGAAUCUGACUAGCAUCCGUGAAGACUCAGGAUCCCUGGCCUUGCUCACUGGGUUGAGAAUCCAGCAUUGGCACUCACAUCCUGAGUUGCUGUGGCACCACUGGCCUAUGCCAGAGCCACAGCAACGCAGGAUCCGAGCCGUGUCUGCAACCUACACCACAGCUCAGGGCAACGCCGGAUCAUUAACCCACUGAGCAAGGGCAGGGACCGAACCCGCAACCCCAUGGUUCCUAGUCGGAUUCGUUAACCACUNGCCAUUUCUAGGGCCGCUCCCUCGGCAUAUGGAGGUUUCCAGGCUAGGGGUCUAAUCUGAGCUGUAGCAGCUGGCCUACACCAGAGCCACAGCAACGCCAGAUCCAAGCCGCAUCUGCAACCUACACCACAGCUCAUGGCAACACUGGAUCCUUAACUCACUGAGCAAGGCCAGGAAUCGAACUGCAACCUCAUGGUUCCUAGUUGGAUUCGUUAACCACUGAGCCACGACGGGAACUCCUUGAAUUAUUUCUGAGUUGAAAAUACAUAUAUAUUUAAAAGUUUAAGUCUUAUUUAUUUAUUUAUUUAUUUGGCCAUGCUUGCAGCAUACAGAAGUUCACAGGCCUGGAGCCACAGCAGUGACUGCAAGAUCCUUAACCUACUAGGCUGCCAGGGAACUCUCCAAAUUUUAAAUUUUUAUGUGGAUAGUGAUAAAUAUAUGUAAAAUGUAUAAAGUGAAACUUGAUAAGAUUAUAAAGAAAAAUGUAUGUGGCCAUAUUAGGUGAUUUUAACAAGCCUUUCCCAGUGAUUAAGACAAGCAAAAAAAAAAAAAAAUCAUCAUGGACUUGGAGAAUAGACUUGUGGCUGCCGGACGGGAGAGGGAGGGAGUGGGAGGAAUCGGGAGCUUGGGGUUAUCAGAUACAACUUACAAUAGAUUUACAAGGAGAUCCUGCUGAGUAGCAUUGAGAACUAUGUCUAGAUACUCAUAUUGCAACAGAACAAAGGGUGGAAAAAAAAAUGUAUACAUGUAAGAAUAACUUGAUCCCCAUGCUGUACAGCGGGAAAAAUGAAAUAAAAAUUUUUUAAAAAU
This 2266-nucleotide long non-coding RNA is filed under the name Sus scrofa (pig). RNAcentral describes it as "lncRNA (ENSSSCG00035038442.1)". Lineage: Eukaryota; Metazoa; Chordata; Mammalia; Artiodactyla; Suidae. The record is from RNAcentral.